AGACACCACAUCAUUUUCUAGAUCCGCCGUUUCCAUUUCCGUUUACUUCUUUUCUCGUCCGGAGUCAACGUGUUCAGUGAGAUUCCUACUGUUGAAAUUUUGUUAAAUUGUAUUUGAUUUACUUAUUUUCGCAAAAAUGUCGGAAACUUUUGAUAUGAAAGGUAGUUUGAGGGGACACAACGAUUGGGUCACUCAAAUUGCUACCAACCCGAAGAAUCCUGACAUGAUUCUAUCAUGCUCUCGAGACAAGACUCUGAUCAUUUGGAAAUUGAAGAAAGAGGAGUCCAACUAUGGUAUGCCACAGAAGCGUCUCUAUGGCCACUCACACUUUGUCAGUGACGUUGUACUAUCUUCCGAUGGCAACUACGCCCUAUCUGGCUCCUGGGACAAGACACUGAGGCUGUGGGAUCUUGCUGCCGGCCGCACCACCAGGAGGUUUGAAGACCAUACCAAGGUGUGAACAAAAUGAUGAAGCUUUUUUUUAUAAAUAUUAUGGAUUGGAACUUCUCAUUGUAUUGAAUAUUAAUUCUUCUGUGAUUUCCGCUAGCGACCCAAGGAUAGCAACCAGCAUCUAUAAAAAAAUAUUUCGAUUUUUUCUGCUCUAACUUCAUUUUCUGGCAACUGUCUAUUUAAAUAUAGUAAUAUCAAAGACUAUGACAAUAUUUCUACUUUGUUCUUUAAAAAAUUCCCCUUCUAAACCUGGAAUCCUAUCAUGUUUAGUUUUUGUUUGAUAGUUUUCUUCAAAUUAUAACAUUGAAAAAUCGUUUUGCUUCAUCAAUAUGUUUGAAAUUCAACUUUCAAAUUUUGCAAAGAAUAAUAACAAUAGACUGUUGUUUCUAAAUCAAUGUUCUAGAAUUUAAUUAUAUACUUAGGCCAAUCGAUUCUUCUCGUAGUUUUGGCAUUUCCUCGUAGGUUGACUCGAGCUCCAAUUUUUAUUGCUCGACGUAUUUUUCCUUGUUUCUUUCAAAAAAGAGCUGUUUCUUUCAUAAUCAGCUCUCCAACUCAUCUAUUAGUUCAAUUAGAAACUACCGGAAAUUAUAGAAAAAUUAAGUUGAAUACUAGAAUAUCCAGUCUGUAAUAAUUUUUUUUGAAAGAUAGAAGAGGAGCAUUCUUUAGGACGUUCUGAGUGUUGCUUUCUCCGUUGAUAACAGACAGAUUGUCUCAGGAAGUCGAGACAAGACCAUCAAGCUGUGGAAUACACUGGCUGAAUGCAAAUACACAAUUCAGGACGAUCACACUGACUGGGUGUCUUGUGUUAGGUUCUCUCCCAAUCACGCCAAUCCAAUCAUCGUAUCCGCCGGCUGGGAUAGAAUGGUCAAGGUGUGGAACUUGACCAACUGCCGCCUGAAAAUCAACCACAGUGGACACACAGGCUACCUCAACACAGUCACCGUAUCUCCCGAUGGCUCCCUGUGUGCAUCAGGUGGAAAGGACUGCAAAGCCAUGCUGUGGGAUCUGAAUGACGGCAAGCACCUCCACACAUUGGACCACAAUGACAUCAUUACAGCUUUAUGCUUCAGUCCAAACCGAUACUGGCUAUGUGCUGCUUUCGGACCAUCCAUCAAGAUUUGGGAUCUGGAAACAAAGGAAAUGGUGGAUGAACUGAAACCAGAAGUGGUGUCUCAACCAUCGAAGGCUGAACCUCCUCAGUGCCAGUCGCUGGCCUGGUCUACCGAUGGACAAACUCUGUUCGCGGGCUAUUCAGACAACAUCAUCAGAGUCUGGCAGGUCGCUGUCUCUAGAUAAUUGUUGACUUCCACUGAAAAUAAAAUAGAGUUUUUAUAACUUGCCAA
RNAcentral lists this unclassified non-coding RNA (1793 nucleotides) under Nilaparvata lugens (brown planthopper). RNAcentral's name for it is "guanine nucleotide-binding protein subunit beta-like protein, transcript variant X1". The record is from RNAcentral. Lineage: Eukaryota; Metazoa; Arthropoda; Insecta; Hemiptera; Delphacidae.